CCAAGCUACAAAGAGCCAACGGUGGAUGCCUUGGCGACUACUACCGAAGAAGGACGUGGAUGGCUGCGAAAAGCCACGGUGAGCUGCCUAUCAAGCUACGACCCGUGGAUGUCCGAAUGGGGAAACCCGGCACCUGUUAAGGGGUGUCACUCCGACUUGAACACAUAGAGUCGGUAGAGGGAACUGGGUGAACUGAAACAUCUCAUUAACCCAAGGAAAAGAAAGCAACAGCGACUCCCUGAGUAGCGGCGAGCGAAACGGGAAGAGCCUAAACCUGGCUGGUGGCAAGCCUGACGGUAUUGCCAGCUGGGGGUUGUGGGACCAGAUAGGAGGAGCGUCAGAUCCUCCACAAAGUUACAAAUUUGUCAGUUAGCAGAAGCACAUUGGAAAAGUGCGCCAUAGAAGGUAAUAGCCCUGUAAGCGAAAACUGAACAAACUUUGUUCUGUGUUCCCGAGUAGCACCGGAUCCGGGAAAGCCGGUGUGAAUCUGCGAGGACCACCUCGUAAGGCUAAGUAUAAGUAGUCGACCGAUAGCGAACUAGUACCGUGAGGGAAAGGUGAAAAGUACCCCGUGAGGGGAGUGAAAUAGUACCUGAAACCGUUGGUUUACAAUCAGUCAAAGCGUCGUUUCAAGCUUCGGCUUGAAGCCGCAAUGGCGUGCCUUUUGAAGAAUGAGCCUACGAGUUACGGUGUGUGGCAAGGUUAACCCGUGAGGGGAAGCCGGAGCGAAAGCGAGUCUGAACAGGGCGUUCAGUCGCAUGCUGUAGACCCGAAGCCGAGUGAUCUAUCCAUGGGCAGUGUGAAGCGGAGGUAAGACUCCGUGGAGGCGCGAACCGACCUAGGUUGAAAACUGGGCGGAUGACCUGUGGAUAGGGGUGAAAGGCCAAUCAAACUCGGUGAUAGCUGGUUCUCCGCGAAAUGCAUUUAGGUGCAGCGUCGCGUGUUCAGCCAUGGAGGUAGAGCACUGGAUGGGUUAGGGGGCCUACAAGCUUACCAACCCCAGCCAAACUCCGAAUGCCAUGGCUUAAAAGUGCGGCAGUGAGUCCUCGGGGGAUGAGCUUCGAUGGACGAAAGGGAAACAGCCCAGACCGCCGACUAAGGUCCCAAAGUUCUAACUAAGUGGUAAACGAAGUGGGAUUGCCAAGACAGCCAGGAUGUUGGCUUAGAAGCAGCCAUCAUUAAAAGAGUGCGUAACAGCUCACUGGUCAAGUGGUCCCGCGCGGAAAAUGUAACGGGGCUAAAGUUAGGCACCGAAGUCGCGGAUUUCUGCUUAUGCAGGAGUGGUAGCGGAGCGUCGAGCUCGGAUUGAAGCAGCGGUGUAAACCGUUGUGGACUGAGCUCGAGUGAGAAUGUAGGUAUGAGUAGCGAGAGAGGGGUGAGAAACCCCUCCGCCGGAAGUCCAAGGGUUCCUGGGGAAGGCUAAUCCUCCCAGGGUAAGUCGGGAGCUAAGGCGAGGCCGAGAGGCGUAGUCGAUGCACAACCGGUUGAUAUUCCGGUACCACGGAUUGCGCGUAAAACGUCGACCCAAAGUGCUAAGGGGAUGUCUGAUCCUUCGGGAUCAGAAGGAACUUGAACCACUCUGGCAAGACGAGUGAAGCGGGGACACAGGAAGGUAGGUGAACCCAGGCGAUGGUUGUCCUGGGGCAAGCGUGUAGGUCGGGGCGUAGGUAAGUCCGCUCCCCAUUAAGACUGAGACGUGAAGCCGAGCCGUUUAAGGCGAAGUCACUGAUCCUAUGCUGUCGAGAAAAGCCGCUAGCGAGUGCAAUCGGUGCCCGUACCCCAAACCAACUCAGGUGGACAGGUAGAGAAUACUAAGGCGAUUGGGAGAACUAUGGUUAAGGAACUCGGCAAAUUGCAUCCGUAACUUCGGGAGAAGGAUGACCUUGCUAGGGUGACAAACUUUUCGUUUGUAGCCCGAAGAGGUGACACAAACCAGGGGAAAGCGACUGUUUACUAAAAACACAGCAGCGUGCUAAGUCCUAAGACGACGUAUACGCUGUGACGCCUGCCCGGUGCCGGAAGGUUACGGGGAAGGGUUAGCCUUCGGGCGAAGCUCUGAACCUAAGCCCCGGUAAACGGCGGCCGUAACUAUAACGGUCCUAAGGUAGCGAAAUUCCUUGUCGGGUAAGUUCCGACCUGCACGAAUGGCGUAACGAC
RNAcentral lists this ribosomal RNA (2157 nucleotides) under marine metagenome. RNAcentral describes it as "bacterial LSU rRNA". It matches the Rfam family "Bacterial large subunit ribosomal RNA", at positions 3 to 2008 of the family's 2925-position model. The record is from RNAcentral.